RNAcentral lists this ribosomal RNA (245 nucleotides) under uncultured bacterium. RNAcentral's name for it is "partial 16S ribosomal RNA". It matches the Rfam family "Bacterial small subunit ribosomal RNA", at positions 91 to 334 of the family's 1533-position model. The record is from RNAcentral.
CGGACCGGCGCACGGGUGAGUAACACGUAUCCAACCUGCCGUCUACUCUUGGCCAGCCUUCUGAAAGGAAGAUUAAUCCAGGAUGGGAUCAUGAGUUCACAUGUCCGCAUGAUUAAAGGUAUUUUCCGGUAGACGAUGGGGAUGCGUUCCAUUAGAUAGUAGGCGGGGUAACGGCCCACCUAGUCAACGACGGAUAGGGGUUCUGAGAGGAAGGUCCCCCACAUUGGAACUGAGACACGGUCCAA